CUUCCAGAGCUCGCCUCCCCCUAUCCCACACAGCGCGGAACCCACUCGGAGACUGCAGUGGGGCUUCCUUUCCCGCCCGCCCCGCCAUCCCUGCUCUCUCCCCAGCGCUGGCCCCUCCUCCUUCUUCCAUCACUGUGUCUUCUUUCCAUCUCUCAGCUGCCUGAGGCUUUUUGUUCCUCUUUCUUGGACACAACCCUUGCCCACUCCCUCGUGUCAACAUGACCUUCACACUGAGGGUGUCUACACGUCCUCACUCCCCGGGGUCCUUUCAGGUUCACGGUGACCCCAUGUGACACAUAAUGAUGGGAGCCAAGGGGAGGUCAGAGAGACAGAGCCCUUCUCCCAAGGUCACAGCCUCUCGGAGUGGCCCUGCACUACCCACAGGCUGCACGCCUGCCACCAUGUUCCCCUUGCUGUCCACCAUUUAGCCUGGAUGAUGGUUAUGGACACACUGUCCACCGCCUGUGCUGAUCAACAGCUCUGGGAGGAGGGGCUCACCCUGCAGUGUGCUCCCCACAGCAUCUGGCACAACAACCCAGCCAGACGGACAGUGAUGGGCUCCUGCUCCACCACCAACUCAGCACACACGAUCUGUAAGACCAAACAUGUCACUUCUGUCAUCUGAAGCUGGACCUCAGGUAAGUAACUGUGUCCCUUGGACAGGGCCUUUAAACUUUUCAAAAUGUCGCUAAGUCCACUAACUCCGUCAAUCCUGGCAGCAGCACUCUGAGAAAUGUCCCCUCAAGAAAUGAUCUAGGAGUCUGAUUUCCUCAGCAAGCAUAGCACACAGAGAAGAGGUACAUGGCCGUGGAGCCAGAACCCCAAGCUCCCUGUCCCUGGACACGGCAAGCCUGACGGUCAAACAGCACUUGCACACUGGAGAACACGCAGAUGUUCUGGAGAUGGUUUGGAAACUUUAUUCACUAUACCCUGCACGAUGGCUGAGAAGAGGACGCCAAAGUAUUUUAUGACUUCAUUGCCAUUAUGAACCUAAAAAUUAUAAAAACUAUAUUUUGCACUUGAUACUAUUGCUGGCAUAUUUUAUAUUUAAUGGUGUAAAUGUAUGUUCCUUAUUAAAUAGGCCAACCCCUUUCACCCCACCGAUUAAUAGGAAGGAUGAACAUACAUCUGUUUCCACUGGACCUACUAAGCUAGCAUGCUCACUUACAGGUCCU
Molecule: non-coding RNA, 1175 nt
Organism: Heterocephalus glaber (naked mole-rat)
Lineage: Eukaryota; Metazoa; Chordata; Mammalia; Rodentia; Bathyergidae
Source: RefSeq, a predicted model, not a curated record